GGGGGGGGGGGGCACUCCGUCGGAUUCAUAUUCCUCCCCUCCCUAAUAAACCACACAGGUGGAUGUAACCACCCGGAUCUCGCCAGCUAGCCGGAUUCCCUAUUGUUGCAGGCUUGCUGCCAGGCUCCAGGGUAUAAAAUCCAGCUGUUACUGCUCCUAUCCAACCACCGCAUAUAGGAGUCGCAUCUACCGAUGAGCGCCACCAUGACAACACGGGAGAAAUAGCCGCCGCACCCAGAACCCAUCCUCACCAGCUCCCAGAAUCAGGGGUUUGGUCUGGGGUCUUCGUCGGAGUUCGCGGGAGCACGAGGUGCACUCGCCAGGCACGACUGAUGGCUGGAGCGGAGGGAAUUCUUCACCGGAGCAUGGACGUCGUGGUGGUGUCAUGUGUCGUCGUGGGAGGACUCCCCCACUACACCGCUGCCUGUAAGAUGCCUUUACAUGAGUUUGUGUUGUCCUUCGUUACAUGUAGCGCCCUUUGUAUUAGGGGUAUGUGACCUAUGAUGCCGGGGCGCUGCCUCAUUAUCGUGUUGCCAUCGCGGGGUGGGCGCACGCCACUGGAGUGCAAGGUCGGAGCGAGAAUAAGAGGUUAGAGUCGUUGAUCUCCUUCUGGGCGACUCUGAUUAGAACGUGGAGAUACCCCUUUGUGCAUUAAACCGUAGUCGUCGGGUUUGGAUCGGAGGGAUAGGAUAACGUUUUGGCUAGAUCAGAUCUUGGUCAUAAGAUGGAGCGUUAGUGGAUUAGAUUAGAUCUCUCCCUAAUAAAAUCUAGAUUGUAUAUUCAAGAUCGGACGACCCUGAUUAGAAAUUGAGAUAAUGUUUUGAUCCGAUGAAAACUGGGCAUCAAUCGGGGAUCUAGCAGCUGGAAAUCCAUACCAGUUCAACGAGGGGAUCUAAUUCGCGCCUUUAGUUGAAGAUCUAGCGGCCGAGACACGCUCAUACCCCUUUGGCUAUUGUUGUUUUGCGUAAGAGACCAUGCGUUCCUCAAAAAGCAACCCGCAGUCCACCCCAGUGCAAAGACUCUCACGAAUUAGUCCUAAGAAUUCUGAUUUAGACCCUACAGUCUCCAAAAAUAUAAACUGCCAUCCUUUUUAGAAAUAAAAUAAAUAAAAAAUCAUAGGAAAUUCCCUGGAAAUCAUUUCUUAGGUAUAAAAUAAAUUUAAAAAUAUCUAGAAACUUAGAAAACUCAUAACUAUCACGUUUUAACUCUGAUUUUAGUAGUUCUCGAACCUGCAAUCUCGUAGUGACGUGUAAAAUAUUUCUAUAUAGUUUGUUUCCAUGCUUUGGUGUAAUGUUAUUGUAUCCCUUGUUUGCUUAUUUGUAUGUAUUGCUACCUACUAGAAGCGGGGUUGCAAGGAACCUGAAGCCCAACUCGGAGAAGUACCUGGUGCUACACCAAAAAGACAAGUUGUGUCCUUGAUCACAUUUUUUGACCUAAGAAUAUUUAUGUUUAUAAUAAUCACCAUGGCAUGCUUAGGUUAAAUUGAUGGGACCUAAUAGGUUACCUAGUUUUGUUUACCCUACACCUUGCAUACAAAUGAAUUAUUGGGUAGUCCUGCUAUUGCUUUACCUAGUUUUGGGAGUAAUAACAUUUAUGAAUUAUCAUCAUGUUCUAUUAUAUUGCUAGAUUAUUUAUUAUUGUGCUUGAUAAGAUCAUUUUGUUAAUUGGAAUAUGGAGCGAUCACCUGAGACAACAGUUUAACCACAACGACUAUAUGGCUUUGGUCUUGGCCAAUUAAUUAGGAAAGGUAGUGUAGGAUAAUCCAUUCUCGAUAGGGGCAAGUGGGGAGGCAUCGCUGCAGAGUAUAGUGAUAGAUGUAAUUACGACGAUGGGGUUACAGACUAUGAAAAAAGGCAUAUGCUUCCUUGGUCCAAAACGAUAGCGGGUUUUCUCAUACUAGUGGAACUUUGUAAAGGCCUUGUAGUGUACCCUCGCCAACUCACCUUGGAAGUGUUUAAGGGUCCGUACAAUCCUGGGCAAAAAGGGAACACAACUUGUGGGUAUAGACGUGCAACCUCUGCAGAGUAUAAAACUGGUAUAUCAGUCGUGCUCAUAGGCAUGAGCGGCUCGGGCC
RNAcentral lists this long non-coding RNA (2074 nucleotides) under Zea mays. Its description in RNAcentral is "long non-coding RNA (ZMAY_LNC003768)". The record is from RNAcentral. Lineage: Eukaryota; Viridiplantae; Streptophyta; Magnoliopsida; Poales; Poaceae.